UCCCUGGUGGUCCAGUGGUUAGGACCCAGUACUUUUACUGCUGGGGGCAAGGGUUCAAUCCCUGGUCAGGGAA
Cervus elaphus (red deer) is the source of this 73-nucleotide non-coding RNA. NCBI's taxonomy places the organism in Eukaryota, Metazoa, Chordata, Mammalia, Artiodactyla, Cervidae. The record is from the annotation of a RefSeq genome assembly.